AGGCAAUGGCACUGUAAGAAGGCAUAAAUUCUGAUAAUUUGAGCCUGCUACAACAACAAAGUCAACCUAUGUCAGUGUUCUCUUCCCCAUGAGGCAAGCUGUUUACAGGCUCAAAGAAU
Small nucleolar RNA from Cricetulus griseus (Chinese hamster), 119 nucleotides. The record is from Ensembl. NCBI's taxonomy places the organism in Eukaryota, Metazoa, Chordata, Mammalia, Rodentia, Cricetidae.